CUUGCGGUGAGAACUGGGCAAGUCAUUCUCUAGGCUGGUUUCCUAGCUGUUAAGAGCUUGGACUAGAUCAUGACCAAAGGUCUUCUAGUUUCAAGAUUUUAGGAGUCUAUGAGCAUUAAAGUUCCAACCUUGCAUUGAAAUCCAGUAUUUAACUUUAUUGAGUAAGAAUUAUACUGCAUAUGUAUGUCCGAUGAAAAGCCAGUGAUGAAAAGGAGAAAAUGGUAUAAUCAAGAUGUCAGCAGUCUUGUUGGAGAAAAGGUGGUGAGACCCCAGGUUUUCCAGCCCUAUGGGUCACCUCUUAUUCAGUAUUUAAAUCAAAAGAAUCCCCAUCCUGCCUACAGUGGGAAAUCCACUGUCCCCACCAACAUGCCCCAGUAUUCUUGGAGGGUUUUAGUGGCUUUUCUAACCACCUUUUGAUAUGAUUUUCUGACUCCUUUUAAUUCAGUCUCUCAUCUCACCUUAUUCAGCUCUCUCUUCUUUUAUCAUGCAUUGAAUCUAAAUGUGGAACAGCAUUCAUUUUCAUUGAUAUUUUCCCUCAAACUAUACAAUCUUAAGGUAAUUACGUGCAGUCGACCAUCACUGAAGUGUUAGGGUUAACAUGGAGGGUCUCCAUCACAGCUUAGCCCAGUGGGUUACUUGUGGAAUGUACUAGACACUCUGGUUCUUAGAAGUGCUUGGCCACUCUCACUGUUGCAAAGUUCCAAACAGGCUGAUCCCUCUUACAUCUGCCCUCCCACCCCUCCAGAAGCUCCAGACUCCUCCUACUUUAUAAAACAUAAAAGUUUAGCUUUGUUUCUCAACCAGACCAUUGGAGUGUUUCUUUUCACAGUUAAUGAAGAUUCCAAUGGCUAUGUCUAAAGAAAGACAUUUCUCUCCCUCGGAGGAAUUCUGCCUCCAGCUUACGUGUAUUUUUUCCUUCUGGCAAAGUAGGAUGGAGAGGUAGGGAGAAGUGGAGUAGGAAGACGUGGAGAUGGCUCAGGAAGAGGAUGCAGGGAAAGGGAGCUGGUGUGCGAGCUGCCCGUCACCCGCAGUACCCUGUGCCGAGGGUUUUACAAGUAUCACCCCAGCUAAUGGUGAAAACAAGCUGAUAAAGUCGCUAUUGAAGUGAAAACUGCUUUGAAAGGCAAAACUCCUGAGGUCAGAUCUGUCUCUCUGACUGAAGGGAAGGAAAUGAACGGAACCCCUUGAAGCAAAGUUGUGUAUUUCCAUUCAGAAGAGGAACAUUCUACCUCUCUCUUGUGAGAGCGGUGGAUUCCUGGUCCCUGAAAGCAUUGGAACAUGGGCCAAGUAACUACUUGGUGAGCCAUUGUAAAGGAAAUUCAAGGGGUACCAUGAGGAUUGGGUUUCACAAGCCUCAAAGUCCUUCCCAAGUCUGAGCAUCUCAGCGGCUGCUGGACUAUCUUUCCGGGUUUUGCCUUCACCUUGGUCACCAGGAUUGCGACACGCUUUUGGGCACUAUUCACAACAGCCAAGACAUGGAAACAAUCCAAGUACCCAUUGUCUGACGAUUGGAUAAAGAAGAUAUAGUAUAUAUAUACAAUGGAAUACUACUCAGCCAUAAAAAAGACAAAAUCAUCCCAUUUGCAACAACAUGGAUGGAUCUGGAGGGACUUAUGCUAAGCAAAAUCAGCCAAACAAGAAAGACAAACACCAUAUGAUUUCACUCUUGUGUGGCAUAUAAACAAACACAUGGACAAAGAAAACAGUUCAG
Long non-coding RNA from Equus caballus (horse), 1711 nucleotides. The record is from Ensembl. Lineage: Eukaryota; Metazoa; Chordata; Mammalia; Perissodactyla; Equidae.